RNAcentral lists this ribosomal RNA (462 nucleotides) under uncultured bacterium. Its description in RNAcentral is "partial 16S ribosomal RNA". It matches the Rfam family "Bacterial small subunit ribosomal RNA", at positions 28 to 507 of the family's 1533-position model. The record is from RNAcentral.
GACGAACGCUGGCGGCGUGCUUAACACAUGCCAGUCGAACGGAAAGGCCCUUCGGGGUACUCGAGAGGCGAACGGGUGAGUAACACGUGGGUGAUCUGCCCUGCACUUUGGGAUAAGCCUGGGAAACUGGGUCUAAUACCGAAUAGGACCACGCGCUUCAUGGUGUGUGGUGGAAAGCUUUUGCGGUGUGGGAUGGGCCCGCGGCCUAUCAGCUUGUUGGUGGGGUAAUGGCCUACCAAGGCGACGACGGGUAGCCGGCCUGAGAGGGUGACCGGCCACACUGGGACUGAGAUACGGCCCAGACUCCUACGGGAGGCAGCAGUGGGGAAUAUUGCACAAUGGGCGCAAGCCUGAUGCAGCGACGCCGCGUGAGGGAUGACGGCCUUCGGGUUGUAAACCUCUUUCACCAGGGACGAAGCGUAAGUGACGGUACCUGGAGAAGAAGCACCGGCCAACUACGUG